GUUCGAAUGAUAAUAAUUUUUGUAUACCAUCGUAUAUAUUACAUAUAACAUAAUAUGGAGACAUUUCAUCAUGUCCACAACAAUAUCAAGGGUGUGAAGGGAUUCAGUCAAGGAGUUUUAAAUUAUUGAAGAGUGGUAAUUAUUUAGAAGUAGGGUUCGCGAAAAAAUUGAGCCCUACUUUUAUAUAAUCACCUGAAAAUUUUUCACUAGAGUAUAAAUAAUAAAAUAUGUGCUAAU
Long non-coding RNA from Colias croceus (clouded yellow), 237 nucleotides. RefSeq lists it as uncharacterized. The record is from RefSeq and is a predicted model, not a curated record. The transcript is spliced from 2 exons. NCBI's taxonomy places the organism in Eukaryota, Metazoa, Arthropoda, Insecta, Lepidoptera, Pieridae.